CGUAAAGAACCUGCCUCAUAGACUGGGACAACUAUUGAAACGAUAGCUAAUACCGGAUAACAGUAUUUCUCGCAUGAGAGAUAUUUAAAAGUUGGUUAUGCUAACACUAUGAGAUGGCUUUGCGGUGCAUUAGCUAGUUGGUGGGGUAAAGGCCCACCAAGGCGACGAUGCAUAGCCGACCUGAGAGGGUGAUCGGCCACACUGGGACUGAGACACGGCCCAG
RNAcentral lists this ribosomal RNA (223 nucleotides) under uncultured bacterium. RNAcentral describes it as "partial 16S ribosomal RNA". It matches the Rfam family "Bacterial small subunit ribosomal RNA", at positions 116 to 334 of the family's 1533-position model. The record is from RNAcentral.